CCUCUCUACCUCUUCUGUCCCUCUCAACCCGCCAGCCAGCAGCAGAUGGGUCCCCCCACAUAAAGAGCCGGGUUCUGCUCAAGGUUUCUUCCCUGUUAAAAGGGUGUUUUUCCUUGCCACUGUCGCCUUUGGGCUUGCUCUGGGGGUCAGGCAUUUGGGUUCUGUAAAGCGUCUUGAGACGAGUUGACUGUAAUUGACGCUAUAUAAAUAAAAUUGAAUUGAAUUGAA
Long non-coding RNA from Acanthochromis polyacanthus (spiny chromis), 228 nucleotides. RefSeq lists it as uncharacterized. The record is from RefSeq and is a predicted model, not a curated record. NCBI's taxonomy places the organism in Eukaryota, Metazoa, Chordata, Actinopteri, Pomacentridae. The transcript is spliced from 2 exons.